RNAcentral lists this ribosomal RNA (914 nucleotides) under uncultured archaeon. RNAcentral's name for it is "bacterial SSU rRNA". It matches the Rfam family "Archaeal small subunit ribosomal RNA", at positions 1 to 922 of the family's 1478-position model. The record is from RNAcentral.
UUCUGGUUGAUCCCGCCAGACCUGACUGCUAUCGGAUUGGUACUAAGCCAUGUGAGUCGUUGCAGCAAUGCAAGGCAGACGGCUCAGUAACACGUAGUCAACCUAACCUAUGGACGGGGAUAACCUCGGGAAACUGAGAAUAAUACCCGAUAGAUCAUGAUACCUGGAACGGUUUAUGGUUCAAAUGAUUUAUCGCCAUAGGAUGGGACUGCGGCCUAUCAGUUUGUUGGUGAGGUAAUGGCCCACCAAGACUAUUACAGGUACGGGCUCUGAGAGGAGUGGCCCGGAGAUGGGUACUGAGACACGGACCCAGGCCCUAUGGGGCGCAGCAGGCGAGAAAACUUUGCAAUGUGCGAAAGCACGACAAGGUUAAUCCGAGUGGUUUCUGCUAAAGAGACCUUUUGUUAGUCCUAGAAACACUGAUGAAUAAGGGGUGGGCAAGUUCUGGUGUCAGCCGCCGCGGUAAAACCAGCACCUCAAGUGGUCAGGAUGAUUAUUGGGCCUAAAGCAUCCGUAGCCGGCUGUGUAAGUUUUCGGUUAAAUCUGUGCGCUUAACGUACAGGCUGCCGGAAAUACUGUACAGCUAGGAAGUGGGAGAGGUAGACGGUACUCGGUAGGAAGGGGUAAAAUCCUUUGAUCUAUUGAUGACCACCUGUGGCGAAGGCGGUCUACCAGAACACGUUCGACGGUGAGGGAUGAAAGCUGGGGGAGCAAACCGGAUUAGAUACCCGGGUAGUCCCAGCUGUAAACUAUGCAAACUCAGUGAUGCAUUGGCUUGUGGCCAAUGCAGUGCUGCAGGGAAGCCGUUAAGUUUGCCGCCUGGGAAGUACGUACGCAAGUAUGAAACUUAAAGGAAUUGGCGGGGGAGCACCACAAGGGGUGAAGCCUGCGGUUCAAUUGGAUUCAACGCCGGA